GUCUUGUUUAUUCAUAUAAAUUAUGUUCACUUCAUGUUUUUUAGGAUCCAACAUAUUGCAAAUUGAUCCUGUUUGAAUAUGCUGUCAAAAUGAAUCUGAAAAGACCUGAAUAUUCAAUGACCGGUGGAGAACAGAUGCGUCCAGUUUUCAUGUCUACUCUGGUUUUUGAUGGUAAAGUUUACAAAGGCGAAGAAGGCAGAAGCAAGAAGAUAGCAGAAUAGCUGGCUGCACGCGUUGCCAUUCAAUCACUCCUUGAAUUCGAUUCAGGAAUCCUCCAGCAAAUAAUCAAUUCCAAGUCCAGAGUUCAAGAUGCUGUACCUGAAGUAAAGAAUCCGAGCACUAACCAGAGCAAUUUACCAGCUCCAUCAACACCAGUAGUUUCUUCCGGGAAGGCAAAUGAUGUUUCUCAGUGAGAAUAAGCGAAAGCCUCAGACAAGUGACAGCACACAGAAAAAAUUGCGACGCUAUCUACACUUCCAAGGUUAAUCUUGAUGGGAUGCUGCCUUUUUCUUCGGUCCAAGAACAGUUUAGCUAUGCAUUAGAAAAUUAAAAAUUGGCUCUCUGGGUCCUUCAAACUUCUGUAAAUAUAUAUUCAGAUGAGAACUUUAAAUCAU
Pistacia vera is the source of this 614-nucleotide long non-coding RNA. RefSeq lists it as uncharacterized. The transcript is spliced from 5 exons. NCBI's taxonomy places the organism in Eukaryota, Viridiplantae, Streptophyta, Magnoliopsida, Sapindales, Anacardiaceae. The record is from RefSeq and is a predicted model, not a curated record.